GAUGAACGCUGGCGGCGUGCUUAACACAUGCAAGUCGAACGGGAAACCUUUUAUUGAAGCUUCGGCAGAUUUAGCUGGUUUCUAGUGGCGGACGGGUGAGUAACGCGUGGGUAACCUGCCUUAUACAGGGGGAUAACAGUCAGAAAUGGCUGCUAAUACCGCAUAAGCGCACAGAGCUGCAUGGCUCAGUGUGAAAAACUCCGGUGGUAUAAGAUGGACCCGCGUUGGAUUAGCUGGUUGGUGGGGUAACGGCCCACCAAGGCGACGAUCCAUAGCCGGCCUGAGAGCGUGAACGGCCACAUUGGGACUGAGACACGGACCAGACUCCUACGGGAGGCAGCAGUGGUGAAUAUUGCACGAGGGGGGAAACCCUGAUGCAGCGACGCCGCGUGAAGGAAGAAGUAUCUCGGUAUGUGAACUUGUAUCAGCAGGGAAGAUAAUGACGGUACCUGACUAAGAAGCCCCGGCUAACUACGUG
RNAcentral lists this ribosomal RNA (478 nucleotides) under uncultured bacterium. RNAcentral describes it as "partial 16S ribosomal RNA". It matches the Rfam family "Bacterial small subunit ribosomal RNA", at positions 28 to 507 of the family's 1533-position model. The record is from RNAcentral.